GAAUAUUGCACAAUGGGCGCAAGCCUGAUGCAGCGACGCCGCGUGGGCGAUGAAGGUCUUCGGAUCGUAAAGCCCUUUUCUUGGUGACGAGGAAGGACGGUAACCAAGGAAUAAGUGUCGGCUAACUACGUGCCAGCCGCCGCGGUAAAACGUAGGACGCAAGCGUUAUCCGGAAUUACUGGGCGUAAAGAGCGUGUAGGCGGAUGUAUAAGUCAGCCGUGAAAGCUCCCGGCUAAACUGGGAGAGGUCGGAUGAUACUGUAUAUCUUGAGGGCAAUAGAGGGGUGUAGAAUUCCGGGUGUAGUGGUGAAAUGCGUAGAUAUCCGGAGGAAUACCAGAGGCGAAGGCGGCACCCUGGAUUGUACCUGACGCUGAGACGCGAAAGCAUGGGUAGCGAACGGG
This 401-nucleotide ribosomal RNA is filed under the name uncultured bacterium. RNAcentral's name for it is "bacterial SSU rRNA". It matches the Rfam family "Bacterial small subunit ribosomal RNA", at positions 359 to 776 of the family's 1533-position model. The record is from RNAcentral.